UUAUGCAAAGAUAAAUUUAUAUAUUGGGAACACUUCGCAAAAUGAGAAGCGAUAAUAUAAGAAGAAGACGAUUUAUCCGUAUUUACCUUGAAAUACAUCGUUAUGCAAAGAUAAAUUGAUAUUUUGGGAACACUUCGCAGAAUGAGAAGCGAAACUAUAUGAAGAAGACGACUUAUCCGUAUUUAUCUUGAAAUAUAUUGUUAUGCAACGAUAAAAUUAGACUUUGGGAACAUGUCGAAAAUGUGAAGCGAAACUAGAUGAAGAAGACGAUUUAUCCGUAUUUACCUUGAAAUACAUUGCUAGGCAAAGAUGAAUGCAAAGAGAACACGUCGAUAAAUGAGAAGCGAAACUGGAUGAAGGAGAAGAUUUAUCCGUAUUUACCUUGAAAUACAUUGCUAGGCAAAGAUGAAUGCAAAGAGAACACGUCGCAAAAUGAGAACCGAAUCUAGAUGAAGAAUAAUAUUUAUCCGUAUUUAUCUUGAAAUACAUCGUUAUGCAAAGAUAAAUUGAUAUUUUGGGAACACUUCGCAGAAUGAGAAGCGAAACUAUAUGAAGAAGACGACUUAUCCGUAUUUAUCUUGAAAUAUAUCGUUAUGCAAAGAUAAAUUUAUAUAUUGGGAACACUUCGCAAAAUGAGAAGCGAUAAUAUAAGAAGAAGACGAUUUAUCCGUAUUUACCUUGAAAUACAUCGUUAUGCAAAGAUAAAUUGAUAUUUUGGGAACACUUCGCAGAAUGAGAAGCGAAACUAUAUGAAGAAGACGACUUAUCCGUAUUUAUCUUGAAAUAUAUUGUUAUGCAACGAUAAAAUUAGACUUUGGGAACAUGUCGAAAAUGUGAAGCGAAACUAGAUGAAGAAGACGAUUUAUCCGUAUUUACCUUGAAAUACAUUGCUAGGCAAAGAUGAAUGCAAAGAGAACACGUCGAUAAAUGAGAAGCGAAACUGGAUGAAGGAGAAGAUUUAUCCGUAUUUACCUUGAAAUACAUUGCUAGGCAAAGAUGAAUGCAAAGAGAACACGUCGCAAAAUGAGAACCGAAUCUAGAUGAAGAAUAAUAUUUAUCCGUAUUUAUCUUGAAAUAUAUCGUUAUGCAAAGAUAAAUUUAUAUAUUGGGAACACUUCGCAAAAUGAGAAGCGAUAAUAUAAGAAGAAGACGAUUUAUCCGUAUUUACCUUGAAAUACAUCGUUAUGCAAAGAUAAAUUGAUAUUUUGGGAACACUUCGCAGAAUGAGAAGCGAAACUAUAUGAAGAAGACGACUUAUCCGUAUUUAUCUUGAAAUAUAUUGUUAUGCAACGAUACAAUUAUACUUUGGGAACAUGUAGAAAAUGUGAAGCGAAACAAGAUGAAGAAGACGAUUUAUCCGUUUUUAUCUUGAAAUACAUUGCUAGGCAAAGAUGAAUGCAAAGAGAACACGUCGAAAAAUGAGAAGAGAAACUAGAUGAAGGAGAAGAUUUAUCCGUAUUUACCU
Drosophila subobscura is the source of this 1465-nucleotide long non-coding RNA. RefSeq lists it as uncharacterized. The transcript is spliced from 15 exons. Lineage: Eukaryota; Metazoa; Arthropoda; Insecta; Diptera; Drosophilidae. The record is from RefSeq and is a predicted model, not a curated record.